UUUGCAAGUCACAGACAAAAUGUUAAGAAGAUGAUAAAGUACCCUACUAAUUUUAACAUAUUUCUUUAUUCCCUCAGAUAUAUUUUAAUCACAGGAAAGAUCUCUGUGCUUUGGAAAUAAGAAGAUGGAACACAAUUCAUAAGAUAGCUCCUAAAAUUUUAGAAAUCAUUCUGUGAAAGUUUCUGUUUCUCUACUAUCAAAGAAAGACCAAAGAACAACGUUUCCUAGCCUGGAGGAAAAGCGAAGCAGCCUUUGGAAAUCAUCUUGGAAGAGACAUUCAGCUUUCCGUUUUCUACACUUCAGGAGACUUCUGCGAAGAUAUUUGGAAUCAUUAGCUUCCUUCUCACUUCCCUCCUCCUGCUGCUGCUCGGUGUGCUUGGGGCUGAAGGAUGGGCUGUGGUACACCUGAACCAUGGGGGAACACAGACUCUGACAAGAUCCUCUGACUGAAGAAAAAGAAGGCUGUGACUGGAAAGGAUCGGAUGCAACCACAAUUGAGCAUAGAACAAAAAUCCAAAGCUUCAUCAUGUCCAGCAGAUUCUAUUAAAAAAAAAAAAAA
Long non-coding RNA from Zonotrichia albicollis (white-throated sparrow), 559 nucleotides. RefSeq lists it as uncharacterized. The record is from RefSeq and is a predicted model, not a curated record. Lineage: Eukaryota; Metazoa; Chordata; Aves; Passeriformes; Passerellidae.